Vicia villosa (hairy vetch) is the source of this 3525-nucleotide long non-coding RNA. RefSeq lists it as uncharacterized. The record is from RefSeq and is a predicted model, not a curated record. The transcript has 4 exons. Lineage: Eukaryota; Viridiplantae; Streptophyta; Magnoliopsida; Fabales; Fabaceae.
AAAAUUUCUUUUCUGACUCUAUGUACCCUCACCUCACUGUAUCUCUCUUUUCUCUCUGUCAUCCUUUUUUUUUCUCUUUCUCUCUCGACUUCUUCCUAUUCUCCUUCCUCAACCAUCUUCCUCUUCUUCUUCUUCCACUAUCAUCGAUAUUCUGUAUUCGGUAACAUCGUCACCAUCCUCUUCUCCAUCGUAUGAUAUUAUCGGCGGCGAAAUUGAUUCCGACGAGAUUCUAGGUUGUUCAGUCUAUCGCUGGUGAUGCACCACCAUUUUAAAGUUUAAUUUUAUUGAGCACUGUAUCCAAUUUUUACCAUUUAACUCUCUAUGCAGGUCUGCAAAAUAGAGUUCUUUUUGUUAAUUUUUAGUUAGGGUUUCAUCGAAACUGUAUGUUUUUAUGUCUCAGAUGUUUCCAAUCAUUGAACUGGAGGAAUUAAUUAAAGCUUUUAGAAGCCUCGUCCUAUUUUUUUGAGAUCAAACAGUUUAAAGGUUUCUUUUCUAUUUAUAUCAACCUGAGUUUAUUUGUUAAUAUGACUUAUCCAUGUUGAACUUUAAAGGUUUCUUUUUUAUGUUCUUGGUUGAAAUUGAACAUGUAGACGAGAUUUUGCAGGUUAUGAGAUGUAUAUUUGGUGAUCCUUGGAAAGCAAUGCUUCCUAUUAAGAAACUCGGUCCUGAAGCAUAUUUGUGUCUCUCUAGAAAAGAGUGGGCUUAUUUGUUGAGGAGCUUCUUCAGUGCAUAGCCGCCCAUGUGAAAAAAGAUAAUUUGUAUGAUUGAAAAUCUUUUAUAUUAUUAAAUGAAACUACGUGAGUGCUUUAAUUUGUUUGAAUCUUUGAAGGAUAGCUCAAUAUGUAGAUACACACUUUGUUUUAACUCAGACUUUUGAACUUUCUAAUGCUUUAGAAUUUGUUAAUUUUAACGCCAUCAUAUGUCUGAUUUUUCAUCUUUUUGUUCAUGUUGUAUUAACAUGUGCAGUAUCAAAGAUUUUCUUCCAAACUUACACGGGGAACAUAUUGAUUGUUUUGAACCCUUUCACAAAGCUUCCUCAUUAAAUGAUAGCCAUAUGAUGGCAUAAUACAUUGGAGCAACAUUUGGACAUCUGAGUUCUGAUAUUGACAGCAAUGGAUACUAAACCAGAAAAUUUGUUAUUGCCAUCCUCGCCUAACCAACGACACUUUCAUUUGAUGAGGAGCUUUGGAGAAUGAUUGUGUUUUUAUAAUGCCUCAGCAGGGGGUUCUGUUGUUGGUGUUAUGAUAAACCAACAUGACACUAAGUGAAGAAGGCACUCAAGAGAACCUUGACUGACAUGGCUUCGGUUAUUCCAAAUGGAUUUCUAAUGCUUCUUUCGGUGAGUCCUGGGGUUCAACGAGGGGACUAAAUGACGCUCUGAGAUGCAUUGAUUUGACAAUAAAGCAUUCAGAUUGAGCCUAGGUUCAACAUGGCUCAGCAGUAUGUGCAAGUGAAUGUGAUGCAGUUUUGAAUUGGCAAUAAAAUCAUCAACCUGGCACUUAAUCUGAAUGUGGGAAUGAAAUAAUUAGUUUAUGAUGUUGAAUGUUAUUGUUAUGUGUUACUUUAUCUUUUCUUCAAGAUGAUUACAGAUAAAUAAACACAUGAUUGCCUAUAUGGAAAGAGGGAUUUUGAUCAAUACAUGGAGAUUGUUGGAAGUAUAAAACAUGAUAAUGUGGUUGAUUUAAAAUCUUACUACUGUUCAAAAGACGAGAAACUGAUGGUAUAUGAUUACUAAAGUCGGGGGAGUGUCUCUUCUUUGUUGCAUGUUAUACUAUAACUAUAUGUGAAGAAUCAAGUGGGGCUUCACGAGCCUGAAUUUUGUAACUGAUGAAAUCCCAUAGGUUUGAGGAACAGGGAGACACUAUCAUACUCCAACGUCAUAUCUAGAGCAGAAUCUAAUCGAAGUUCGAAUGCACCUUUUCUUCUUCUGUAGGGACGAGAGGUUCUGAUUGUUCAUCGUGUAAAUAAGGUAAGCUCAAUAUUUUGGUUGACUUUAGUAUGUUCCUUCCAACAAUUGUGUCAUUACUGAAUCUGAUUCUGAGGCAAAGUGCUAUGUAUCUUCUCACGUUAUGUCGAUGGCUUCAAGUACCACAAUAGAAACAGCCACAACACCCGUUGAGCCAGUUGCAGCCUCUGCUGAGCAGAUAUGGAUGGGUUUCCAUAGACCAUAAUUUUUUCUUAGUUGAGGCUUUCUUUGUUGAUCAGUUUUGAUGAUAUUCUUGGAAAAUUUAUUUGUUGAGGCUUUCUUUUUGUUUUGUUUUACUGUCAGUCACCAUAUGUUUGAUGAUGGGUCUAUGAGAAAAUCCUUUUUAGAAUUAACAUUUAAGCUAAUACUUUUCAUGUUUAAUUUGUGUGUAGUUUAGAUAUGUUCAGUUAUUUAUAUCCUACCCAUGCUUCUGAUCUAUUUAGUAUAUUCAUCAUGGAAGUGACAAUUUUGUGAUUUCAUUUACUGGUUUGUUUUGUUUUAGUUUUCUAUCAGUUACCACCAUGUGUUUGAUGAUGUUUAAUGGCACGAGGUUCUUUGGUUCCCAUGGAGGAGAUAUUUCUAUCAGGAAAAUCGAACCAAACAUGGUGAUUGAGGAUGAUUUGAAAGCUAAAGAAAUAACUUAAUGCAUGAUUGGUGGAUGCUUUGUAUGCAUGCAUUCUGUUAAUUUAGGCAUGUGGUACAAUAUUCAGUGAUUGGAGUACAUGAAAUUUUGUAAUACAGACUAAACUGAUUUUCAUAUAUCAGGUAUAAAUUAUAUUAUUUUGUUCCUACUAUAGUAACAACACACACUUUCCAGUUUUCACAGACCUGUGUAAAGAGGGAAAAUGUCAUCACCCACUAUAAAAUUUCAAAACACUCUUCAAUAGUUACACUUAUACAUAUGUAUUCUUGCCUAACAAUUAGCAUCAUUUCAAAUCCAAAUAUACAAUUAUGUUGUAAAUGUUUUCAUUAGUCUUGGACUACUAUGAAAUAGAUAGACACAAAUUGCAGGCGAUAUAUUGUCAAAGUUGAUAACAAAUUAAAAAUGCAAGUGUAUUCAAUAUGGACAAUAUAAAGAAAUCACCUUCAGAAAUAACCAAUUUUAUCAACUUUUCCUUGGGAUCUAUUUAACACCAUCACCUUCACUAACUUCACCAAGAGGUGGUUGUGCUUAUUGAUAUGUAACAGUUGUAAUAAGUUAAUUAAUAUGUAUGAAUGAUGAUUUAGGAAGAAGAUCCAAGAAUAAACUUACUGAUUGAUGAUGGUUUUGAGUUGUGAUAUUAACUUAGCGUGAGAAGAAGCUUGAUGGCUUCUGUUCUAAAACAAUUUGAGUGAAAGAAUGCAAUGGUUGCAAAGAGAAAAAAAAUCCAAAAUGAGUGUUCCACUAACAUGCUCAUAUUCUCUACAAGAAAACACAUAAUUAGCAUUAAGGAUGCCCCUAUCAACUACAUCCUCGGAAAAAAUCUAUUAUUAAUUUGAAUAUUUUUAUAUACGAAAAAUAGUAUUUAUGAUAAAAAAAUUGAUUCAAAAAUGGUAUACAGAAAAAAAAAAAACUAUUA